CAGUAGCCGCGGUAAUACGUAGGGGGCAAGCGUUGUCCGGAAUUAUUGGGCGUAAAGCGCGCGCAGGCGGUUUUUUAAGUCUGGUGUCUAAGUGCGGGGCUCAACCCCGUGACGCACUGGAAACUGGGAGACUUGAGUGCAGAAGAGGAGAGCGGAAUUCCACGUGUAGCGGUGAAAUGCGUAGAGAUGUGGAGGAACACCAGUGGCGAAGGCGGCUCUCUGGACUGUAACUGACGCUGAGGCGCGAAAGCGUGGGGAGCAAACAGGAUUAGAUACCCCGGUAGUCCCUGUCUCUUAUACA
RNAcentral lists this ribosomal RNA (301 nucleotides) under uncultured bacterium. RNAcentral describes it as "partial 16S ribosomal RNA". It matches the Rfam family "Bacterial small subunit ribosomal RNA", at positions 509 to 808 of the family's 1533-position model. The record is from RNAcentral.